ACUCUCAUCAACAAACAACUAUUUUUUUCUUUAUCAACUCAUCAAAAUGAGACUAAUAAUUAGUGUAAAAGAUGAGGUACGAGUGUGACCCGCAAAAAUGAAACCAUUCUAGUUUGGUGUGUGGUGUGCCAUCAUUCCUGAAAACAAACCAAUGUUGUCUUUGCUCUACCAUUUUCUUCUUUUGUAGUAAUUUUUAAUGGCUUUCUUAAUUGUAUGUCAUGUUUCAUAUGUAUGAACCCUAUCUGUUCUGUUUCAUUUGUAAACUGUAGCGGCGGUUUGUCGCAAAGCCGGUGAGCCACUGAGUAUUGAGGAGAUCAUUGUGGCACCACCAAUGCCUGGUGAAGCUCGCAUUCGUAUUACAUGCUCCACUCUCUGUCAAACCGAUAUCAGUUUCUGGAACAUGCUGGUUGCCACUUGCCACCAUUUUUGGUCCCUCUAAAUGAUUUAUUGUGAUUUGGAACAUUUUUCUCAGCCAAUGCCUUCCCCAUACCACCUUUUCAUUUUCAUUGAAUUGCUGUAGAAUUUAGAUUACUUUUUCCUUUUUUUUUCUAUGGAAACUUCUGAAUGAUUUUUUUUAAGAAGCAUUUUCUGUGUUUUGAAGGACCAUCCUGCCAUUUAUCCAAGAAUUCUGGGUCAUGAGGCAAUAGGGGUUGGGGAAAAACAAUAGUUUUGGGAGUGGACAAGCCAGGAUCCAAGUUAAACCUUAGCUGUAGUGAGGUCCACGUUUGUGGGAAGAGCCUCAGGGGAUGCUUAUUUGGAGGACUCAAACCCAAGUCUCAUGUACCCAUUCUCCUUAGACGCUACAUGGACAAGCGGCGGUUUGUCGUAAAGCGGGUGAGGCACUGAGUAUUGAGGAGAUCAUGGUGGCACCACCAAUGCCUCGUGAAGCUCGCAUUUGUAUAUAUUAUAUGCUACUCUCUGUCAAACUGAUAUCAGUUUCCGGAACAUACAGGGCCCUCCUGCCAUUUUCCCAACAUUUCUGGGUCAUGAGGCAAUAGGUGGAGAGCGUAGGGGAGGAUGUUACUGAAGUUGCAAAAGGAGAAAUGUGUAACGUGGAUAAAGAAUGAAGAAAUUUUGGCGUGAAAUUCUGUUAGUAGUGAGGGACACGUGGCUCAGGAUCCGCAACACAAGGGAGGAGUUAGGCAUAGCACACGGUUGAGGAGAGAGAAUAUUAAGCUGAAGGAUUACACAUUUUCGGGGACGGGAGAUGAUUCUGUUGCUGGUUGACGGUCGUGGAUGAGCCCGAGAUCAUAGGUGUUCCAUAUUUCAUUGUCUUUGCUGUUUUUUUUACAUUCAAUGUUGAUUAUAGUUCUCUUUUCAUUGUAAUACAUUAUUGUGAGAAAUUGAUACGUUUCAUUGGUACUUUCAUUGAGCUUCCAUGGCUAAGAACACGCGUUUGAAGGAGUUGCAAACGGAAAUUUGUACACAUUCAGAUGGUAUUCGUCGUAUCGGUCAAACAAUGAAUCUGCGUUAUCAAGAGCAAAAUGAUAAGAUUCUCUAGAUCCAGACUUCUAUGGAUCAGAUGCAGUUAGCAAUGAAUCUGUUAUUGCAGAAUGCUUCUCAGCCUACUAGAAGUCCUUCGAACAAUGGCUCCCCGUUGGUGCCACCGAUUAAUACUUUCUUGCCUGUUAAGGAGAUCUUACUUGGAUUUUCUCAUUUCAAUGGAACGAUGCUGGUGGUGGAGUGGAUUUUCAAGGCAAAUAAAUUUUUCACUUAUCAUAAUACUCCUGAUGCGUCUAGAGUUAACAUUUGUUGCGAUGCAUUUUGAUAAGGAUGUAGUAGCAUGGUUUCAGAUG
Glycine soja is the source of this 1796-nucleotide long non-coding RNA. RefSeq lists it as uncharacterized. NCBI's taxonomy places the organism in Eukaryota, Viridiplantae, Streptophyta, Magnoliopsida, Fabales, Fabaceae. The transcript is spliced from 5 exons. The record is from RefSeq and is a predicted model, not a curated record.